This 487-nucleotide ribosomal RNA is filed under the name uncultured bacterium. RNAcentral describes it as "bacterial SSU rRNA". It matches the Rfam family "Bacterial small subunit ribosomal RNA", at positions 21 to 507 of the family's 1533-position model. The record is from RNAcentral.
GGCUCAGGAUGAACGCUAGCGGCAGGCUUAACACAUGCAAGUCGAGGGGUAGAGGUUGCUUGCAACCUUGAGACCGGCGCACGGGUGCGUAACGCGUAUGCAACCUACCUUUUACAGAGGGAUAGCCCAGAGAAAUUUGGAUUAAUACCUCAUGGUAUAUAUCAUUCGCAUGUUUGGUAUAUUAAAGUUCCAACGGUAAAAGAUGGGCAUGCGUCCUAUUAGCUAGAUGGUAAGGUAACGGCUUACCAUGGCAACGAUAGGUAGGGGUCCUGAGAGGGAGAUCCCCCACACUGGUACUGAGACACGGACCAGACUCCUACGGGAGGCAGCAGUGAGGAAUAUUGGACAAUGGGCGCAAGCCUGAUCCAGCCAUGCCGCGUGCAGGAAGAAGCAUCUAUGGUGUGUAAACUGCUUUUGUACGGGAAGAAACACUCCUUCGUGAAGGAGCUUGACGGUACCGUAAGAAUAAGGAUCGGCUAACUCCGUG